GACGAACGCUGGCGGCGUGCUUAACACAUGCAAGUCGAACGGAAAGGCCCUGCUUUUGUGGGGUGCUCGAGUGGCGAACGGGUGAGUAACACGUGAGUAACCUGCCCUUGACUUUGGGAUAACUUCAGGAAACUGGGGCUAAUACCGGAUAGGAGCUCCUGCUGCAUGGUGGGGGUUGGAAAGUUUCGGCGGUUGGGGAUGGACUCGCGGCUUAUCAGCUUGUUGGUGGGGUAGUGGCUUACCAAGGCUUUGACGGGUAGCCGGCCUGAGAGGGUGACCGGCCACAUUGGGACUGAGAUACGGCCCAGACUCCUACGGGAGGCAGCAGUGGGGAAUAUUGCACAAUGGGCGGAAGCCUGAUGCAGCAACGCCGCGUGCGGGAUGACGGCCUUCGGGUUGUAAACCGCUUUCGCCUGUGACGAAGCGUGAGUGACGGUAAUGGGUAAAGAAGCACUGGCUAACUACGUGCCAGCAGCCGCGGUGAUACGUAGGGUGCGAGCGUUGUCCGGAUUUAUUGGGCGUAAAGGGCUCGUAGGUGGUUGAUCGCGUCGGAAGUGUAAUCUUGGGGCUUAACCCUGAGCGUGCUUUCGAUACGGGUUGACUUGAGGAAGGUAGGGGAGAAUGGAAUUCCUGGUGGAGCGGUGGAAUGCGCAGAUAUCAGGAGGAACACCAGUGGCGAAGGCGGUUCUCUGGGCCUUUCCUGACGCUGAGGAGCGAAAGCGUGGGGAGCGAACAGGCUUAGAUACCCUGGUAGUCCACGCUGUAAACGGUGGGUACUAGGUGUGGGGUCCAUUCCACGGGUUCCGUGCCGUAGCUAACGCUUUAAGUACCCCGCCUGGGGAGUACGGCCGCAGGGCUAAAACUCAAAGGAAUUGACGGGGCCCCGCACAAGCGGCGGAGCAUGCGGAUUAAUUCGAUGCAACGCGUAGAACCUUACCUGGGUUUGACAUGGAUCGGGAGCGCUCAGAGAUGGGUGUGCCUCUUUUGGGGUCGGUUCACAGGUGGUGCAUGGCUGUCGUCAGCUCGUGUCGUGAGAUGUUGGGUUAAGUCCCGCAACGAGCGCAACCCUUGUUCACUGUUGCCAGCACGUUAUGGUGGGGACUCAGUGGAGACCGCCGGGGUCAACUCGGAGGAAGGUGGGGAUGACGUCAAGUCAUCAUGCCCCUUAUGUCCAGGGCUUCACGCAUGCUACAAUGGCUGGUACAGAGAGUGGCGAGCCUGUGAGGGUGAGCGAAUCUCGGAAAGCCGGUCUCAGUUCGGAUUGGGGUCUGCAACUCGACCUCAUGAAGUCGGAGUCGCUAGUAAUCGCAGAUCAGCAACGCUGCGGUGAAUACGUUCCCGGGGCU
This 1346-nucleotide ribosomal RNA is filed under the name uncultured bacterium. Its description in RNAcentral is "bacterial SSU rRNA". It matches the Rfam family "Bacterial small subunit ribosomal RNA", at positions 28 to 1381 of the family's 1533-position model. The record is from RNAcentral.